CCUACGGGAGGCAGCAGUGGGGAAUAUUGGACAAUGGGCGAAAGCCUGAUCCAGCAAUGCCGCGUGAGUGAUGAAGGCCUUAGGGUUGUAAAGCUCUUUUACCAGGGAUGAUAAUGACAGUACCUGGAGAAUAAGCUCCGGCUAACUCCGUGCCAGCAGCCGCGGUAAUACGGAGGGAGCUAGCGUUGUUCGGAAUUACUGGGCGUAAAGCGUACGUAGGCGGUUAUUCAAGUCAGAGGUGAAAGCCUGGAGCUCAACUCCAGAACUGCCUUUGAAACUAGAUAGCUAGAAUCUUGGAGAGGUGAGUGGAAUUCCGAGUGUAGAGGUGAAAUUCGUAGAUAUUCGGAAGAACACCAGUGGCGAAGGCGACUCACUGGACAAGUAUUGACGCUGAGGUACGAAAGCGUGGGGAGCAAACAGGAUUAGAUACCCUGGUAGUCCACGCCGUAAACGAUGAUAACUAGCUGUUCGGGCUCUACGAGCUUGUAGUGGCGCAGCUACGACAUUAAGUUAUACCGUCCGUCGGGAGGUACGGUCGGCGAAGAAUUAAAACGUUAAAACGUUAAGUAAGUUAGUACGGACGUGAGACGUAGCCGAACGGACGACGACGAGGGAGGUAGG
This 621-nucleotide ribosomal RNA is filed under the name uncultured bacterium. Its description in RNAcentral is "bacterial SSU rRNA". The stretch from base 1 to 520 matches the Rfam family "Bacterial small subunit ribosomal RNA", at positions 338 to 873 of the family's 1533-position model. The record is from RNAcentral.